RNAcentral lists this long non-coding RNA (646 nucleotides) under Hordeum vulgare. Its description in RNAcentral is "long non-coding RNA (HVUL_LNC019920)". Lineage: Eukaryota; Viridiplantae; Streptophyta; Magnoliopsida; Poales; Poaceae. The record is from RNAcentral.
UGCAGAUUGUUCACAUUUGUUUAUCAACAAUAAAAUAACUGUAACAUUUUAACAAAGUUGUUCAGUUUGAUAGUCAAUACUAGCAAAGUUGCAUUGUCGUCAAUCAAUUUAGUUUAAAAGUUGCAUUGCUUGCUAGCCAAAUAUGUGGCAGACUGGCACCAAACACCAUCAAUAGUUUUUCCAUGUAAUUUGAAUAUACUCCAUAGUGUAGAAAUAUUCACAAAUGCCCUCCAUACAGUGAUGAAAAGAAAUCAAGGUCAAAAUUUAUAGGCGACAGGUAGGUGGCGUGGCCAUGGCCGUGGAGUCAUGGUUUUUACUCGGUUUUCUGUGAUAAACCGAGUCUUGUGUGGGUUUUUUAGGUCUGGUUUCCCUCGUAAGAAUGGAUCAGUUCUUUUCUUUUGUAUGCAGUUGUGGGAGGUCCUGACAAGGCUUCGGAAAAAGAAUGGUAAGAUUUGGAACCUCAAGCUCAAAUUCCCAUGCCAAAUACCCAAAUCAUGGACCGUCAAACCUUUACUAAUUCCAUCCAACAGAACAGUCCCAUAUGGUACUCCACUAUACUAAUACCGGAUUCGGGGCAGUCGGAGGAAGUCUUUAUAAAAGGAGAUACCUUAUAAGAGCAUGCCGUCAGUGGCGGAGACAGGGGGNN